This 253-nucleotide ribosomal RNA is filed under the name uncultured bacterium. RNAcentral describes it as "partial 16S ribosomal RNA". It matches the Rfam family "Bacterial small subunit ribosomal RNA", at positions 524 to 776 of the family's 1533-position model. The record is from RNAcentral.
UACAGGGGGUGCAAGCGUUGCUCGGAAUCAUUGGGCGUAAAGCGCACGUAGGCGGUUCGGUAUGUCGGAUGUGAAAGCCCUUGGCUUAACCGAGGAAGUGCAUCCGAAACUGGCGAGCUAGAGUGCUAAAGAGGAUCGCGGAAUUCCCGGUGUAGAGGUGAAAUUCGUAGAUAUCGGGAGGAACACCGGUGGCGAAGGCGGCGAUCUGGGUAGAUACUGACGCUGAGGUGCGAAAGCGUGGGGAGCAAACAGG